Molecule: ribosomal RNA, 497 nt
Filed under: uncultured bacterium
Lineage: Bacteria
Description: partial 16S ribosomal RNA
Rfam family: Bacterial small subunit ribosomal RNA
Source: RNAcentral
GAUGAACGCUGGCGGCGUGCCUAAUACAUGCAAGUCGAGCGAACGGGCGAGAAGCUUGCUUCUCUGAUGUUAGCGGCGGACGGGUGAGUAACCCGUGGAUAACCUACCUAUCAGCCUGGGAUAACUUCGGGAAACCGGAGCUAAUCCCGGAUGAUAUUUUGAACCGCAUGGUUCAAAAGUGAAAGACGGUCUUUCUGUCACUUAUAGAUGGAUCCGCGCUGCAUUAGCUAUUUGGUAAGGUAACGGCUUACCACGGCAACGAUGCAUAGCCGACCUGAGAGGGUGAUCGGCCACACUGGAACUGAGACACGGUCCAGACUCCUACGGGAGGCAGCAGUAGGGAAUCUUCCGCAAAGGGCGAAAGCCUGACGGAGCAACGCCGCGUGAGUGAUGAAGGUCUUCGGAUCGUAAAACUCUGUUAUUAGGGAAGAACAUAUGUGUAAGUAACUGUGCACAUCUUGACGGUACCUAAUCAGAAAGCCACGGCUAACUACGUG